GAUGAACGCUAGCGAUAGGCUUAACACAUGCAAGUCGAGGGGUAACGUGUUGGAAGCUUGCUUCCGAUGACGACGACCGGCGGAUGGGUGCGUAACGCGUAUGCAACUUGCCUCACAGUGGAGAAUAACCCGGAGAAAUCCGGACUAAUACUCCAUACACUCUUAAGUACGCCUGUACAUGAGAGGAAAGAUUUAUCGCUGUGAGAUAGGCAUGCGUCCUAUUAGGUAGUUGGUGAGGUAACGGCUCACCAAGCCGACGAUAGGUAGGGGUGCUGAGAGGCAGAUCCCCCACAUUGGGACUGAGACACGGCCCAAACUCCUACGGGAGGCAGCAGUGAGGAAUAUUGGUCAAUGGAGGAAACUCUGAACCAGCCAAGUCGCGUGAAGGAAGAAUGUCCUAAGGAUUGUAAACUUCUUUAGCGAGCGAGUAAGGACUUCCACGGGAUGGGAGUUUGAAAGUAGCUCGAGAAUAAGUAUCGGCUAACUCCGU
RNAcentral lists this ribosomal RNA (490 nucleotides) under uncultured bacterium. RNAcentral's name for it is "partial 16S ribosomal RNA". It matches the Rfam family "Bacterial small subunit ribosomal RNA", at positions 28 to 506 of the family's 1533-position model. The record is from RNAcentral.